RNAcentral lists this transfer RNA (74 nucleotides) under Saccharomyces pastorianus. RNAcentral's name for it is "tRNA-Asn". It matches the Rfam family "tRNA". From Rfam's summary of the family: Transfer RNA (tRNA) molecules are approximately 80 nucleotides in length. Their secondary structure includes four short double-helical elements and three loops (D, anti-codon, and T loops). Further hydrogen bonds mediate the characteristic L-shaped molecular structure. tRNAs have two regions of fundamental functional importance: the anti-codon, which is responsible for specific mRNA codon recognition, and the 3' end, to which the tRNAs corresponding amino acid is attached (by aminoacyl-tRNA synthetases). tRNAs cope with the degeneracy of the genetic code in two manners: having more than one tRNA (with a specific anti-codon) for a particular amino acid; and 'wobble' base-pairing, i.e. permitting non-standard base-pairing at the 3rd anti-codon position. Lineage: Eukaryota; Fungi; Ascomycota; Saccharomycetes; Saccharomycetales; Saccharomycetaceae. The record is from RNAcentral.
GACUCCAUGGCCAAGUUGGUUAAGGCGUGCGACUGUUAAUCGCAAGCCUGUGAGUUCAACCCUCACUGGGGUCG